RNAcentral lists this ribosomal RNA (502 nucleotides) under uncultured bacterium. Its description in RNAcentral is "partial 16S ribosomal RNA". It matches the Rfam family "Bacterial small subunit ribosomal RNA", at positions 29 to 507 of the family's 1533-position model. The record is from RNAcentral.
AGCGAACGCUGGCGGCGUGCCUAACACAUGCAAGUCGAACGUGAAAGGGAGCAAUCCCAAGUAAAGUGGCGUACGGGUGAGUAACACGUAGGUAAUCUACCCCAGAAUCUGGAAUAACCGGCCGAAAGGCUGGCUAAUACUGGAUAGAGCGACGGAAUCCGUAAUUGGGUUUUUCGGGAAAGGGAGCCUGGAAAAAGGCCUUCGUUCUGGGAUGAGCCUGCGUCCCAUCAGCUAGUUGGUGAGGUAAAAGCUUACCAAGGCAAUGACGGGUAGCUGGUCUGCGAGGACGGUCAGCCACACUGGGACUGAGACACGGUCCAGACUCCUACAGGAGGCAGCAGUGGGGAAUCUUGCGCAAUGGGCGAAAGACUGACGCAGCAACGCCGCGUGAGUGAAGAAGGCCUCCGGGUUGUAAAGCUCUGUCGAGUGGGAAGAAAAUGCUUGGAGUUCACAGCUCCAGGAACUGACGGUAACACUAAAGGAAGCACCGGCUAACUCCGUG